RNAcentral lists this unclassified non-coding RNA (1671 nucleotides) under Neodiprion pinetum (white pine sawfly). RNAcentral describes it as "uncharacterized LOC124210835, transcript variant X3". The record is from RNAcentral. Lineage: Eukaryota; Metazoa; Arthropoda; Insecta; Hymenoptera; Diprionidae.
AUACACCUCAUAGUCUAACACAAGGUGUGGAGAAUCGUACCAGGCGACUAUGUUGGAAUUGGUUUUUAUACCUUAGUCGUGUUUCGUUUUUUAGAAUCUUGGAUUUGCACGUCGCUACUUCCAUCCAUUUAUCAUUUCUCGUGCGCAUUCGAUUCUUUAACAUGCGAUGGUUGACAAUGCAAUAAAUCUGUCAAAUAGCUAUAAAAAUUUCUGUCAUUUCCACGCUAUCAACCAUUUGACGUACUCAUAACGUUAAACACGCUGCAGUUUUCAUCAUGAGAAAUACCGUAAGAGUAAAAUAAAAUCAUAGACGAGUAAUCUGAUGCGUUGAAGCGAAACUGUCGAUCACCUUGGCUUUAGCGGCCUUACAGUUUCGCAUUAUCCAUUUAGAAACGAGAAAACUUUUAUCAGGCCCACCGCUCAGCUUUCAAAAUUACCUUUUGAAUAAAUCGAACCCUGCGAAUUUUUUACAAACGACGAAAGUUGAGCAGCCCCUUUCGUCUCGAAUCUUCAUACUUUUGCAAAGCUCUGCGAGGAGCUUGCUCGUCUCAUUAUAGCCUUCCCGAAAUACGGUACGUGGUUGAUAAAAAUCAAUUACGGUUUCGUUGGACUGCAGACCGUUUUUUUAAGUCUUUAAAAGAGUCCUUUACGUCGUACUUACGAUCGUCGUAGCUAAGCACAUCGCGUGAGAAAUACCCGUGUAAACCUGGCGAAAGAGGAACUGGUCAUCUUUCUGAUGGAAAUUUUGCCGGGCGAAAUAUCGUUCAACAAAGGUGCCUGCAAAUGUUACACAGAAUUCAUUAGCGACUUUGAAAAAUACGGAGGCAUACAGCGGAGCCGAGGAUCUGCGCUUCGGGCGACGUCUUCCAGACGAAGGGCGGAUUGGUCGUUGAUUUGUGCUUCUCUGGAGAAUUUGUCCGGCAGUGAGGGAAGCGAGCUUCGGGAACGGCAACAUGUCGGUUGCUUUAGUCCGGACGUGAUUACCUUCGUGGAUACGGACAGCGUGAGCUUUUUAUACGUUUGUUAACGCGGCUGUUUUGCCGUCCCGACGUUGCAGAUUCCCUUUGUGCCGCAUGUCCCACGGCUAUGCGGGCUUGUAAGGGAAGGAGCUUGCGGUUGAGCGCGCUUUUGAUGCUUCGGAAACAUCGCCGCGCUCAAGCGGAAAUUAUCAAGUCUAGAUUAGCUACGUUUCGGUAGAUAUAUACGUAUAGAAUCCCUGCUGAUGGAUUAAGCUCCGCGCGUAACGUACGUGCAGGUAUAAUAAGCACUUGCCGAGGCAAAAACGUCGCCGGGAAUAUUACAUCAUCCCAGACUGCCGCAAAGUACAGAAUUGCCAUUUGCAAUUGGCAAGGUUUUACCUCUAAAGUCAGAGAAAUCCUUCGCCACGUCUCAUCCUCACAUUUCUUAAAUGAACUUGCGAUUAGACACGGAGAUUUUGGGUCGGCGACGUCGAUCCUCGCUACACCGAUCUCUUCGCUUUGCGAGUAUUUGUCCAAGAAAGUUUUCACCGAUCAAGGGGAUCAAGUUUAUAAAUCGAAUGUAAACGACCGCGAUACGAUUAUCGUCUUAGAUAAAACAAGGCUCGACGAUAUGUCCGAUAAACGGGCAGCGCCGUGCCCUCGGGCUCGUUACUCUGUAUCUUAAAAGGUUUCGGGCCAUCGAGGAGUUCGG